Long non-coding RNA from Canis lupus familiaris (dog), 582 nucleotides. RefSeq lists it as uncharacterized. The record is from RefSeq and is a predicted model, not a curated record. The transcript is spliced from 2 exons. Lineage: Eukaryota; Metazoa; Chordata; Mammalia; Carnivora; Canidae.
AGUAUUCUAUAAUUAGAGUUUCUCUAAUUUUUGAUGAAGACCAUGUGCUAUUUUUCUAAUCAGAAAAAAGGAAUAACAAAGUCAAGUUAAGAUGAUUUGACUGUAGAAAAACCUGAGAGAUGAUGUGAGGAAUGGCAAGACAGAAUCAAGUAUCCAGCACUUUUCCAAUUAGCUGCUAUGCGGAUAUGAAGAUGGGAAUGGAUGGAUGACAACAUUGGGACUGUCUGGCUGGAUUUCAGAGCAAGAAAGCUAUCAGAUGUUUUCUGUGAGGGGCUUCCAAAUGCAGUAGAAUCCAGAGUACAGUAAGACCCUUGGAUCCCAUAGGCGUCCUGAUUCUGCAGGCUCUUAAAUCCAGGACUGUGGUGAUAUCAUUUAUCCAUCUGAGGCUCUGGGGAUCCCCUCACUGGCCUUCCAGUCUUGCCGAUGCCCUCACACAGAGAGACUUGGCCCAGUUUAAAAUACACACCCCAUCAAAGUUACAAAGCGAUACUCAAAUGGGAAGAGAAAUAACUGCAAUCUGGCUCUUUGUCAUUCUCCAGAAAAUUAAAAAAAAAAAAAAAAAGGAAAGAAAUCAGAACUUAA